UCUGCUCAAUGAAUAUUAAAUAGCCGCAAUUAUAUUGUGCUAAGGUAGCAUAAUCAUUUGUCUUUUAAUUAAAGACUAGAAUAAAUGAUUUUACAUUUAAUUUAUUUUUUUUCAUCUAAAUUUUUAAUUUUUUUUAAAUAUAAAAAAACAUUUAUAUAAAAAAAAGACAAAAAGACCCUAUUAAACUUUACUAUAGUUUAACUGGGGAAGUUAAUUAAUUAUAAUUUUAAUUUCUUUAAAUAUAAAAUUCCAAUAUUAUUGAUUAUAACAAGUUACUAUAGGGAUAACAGCGUAAUAUUUUUUAAAGCUCUUAUUUUAAAAAUAAAUUACGACCUCGAUGUUGAAUUAUUUUUUCUAAAAAAAGUAAAAAUUUUUAAAGAAAGUCUGUUCGACUUUUAAUUAAUUACAUGAUCUGAGUUCAAACCGGAG
This 429-nucleotide ribosomal RNA is filed under the name Amaurobius crassipalpis. RNAcentral describes it as "partial 16S ribosomal RNA". The record is from RNAcentral. Lineage: Eukaryota; Metazoa; Arthropoda; Arachnida; Araneae; Amaurobiidae.